UCUGGAGCCUAGAGGACUGUGUACCAGAAUCUGGGAGAAACUGAAAGCUACCGUUUGGCAAAAGGCAGAGGUCUGUACAUCGGCUAGUAAGCUGGAUCAGCUGCUUACAAGUUCAGGUCCAUCCCACAGUUCUCUCCUUCUAGAGCUGGUUGCUGCCUGAAGUUAAUUCUGUUUUCCAAAACUGUCCUGGAUACAGAGAACAGUCAGAUAUGGUUUGUCCCUCAGGAAGACUCAGCACAAUGAAGAAAGACAAAGAAACACGGUGUGAAUUAAAGAAGCAGCCAAAGAAUGCCGCCAGGUGGCAGUGUGUGAGACCACUGGGAUUUCCUUCCUGCAGCAAGAGCGACAAUGGAAAAACACCACUAUGUUGAAGCUCAGCUAGAACGUGACAACCGGCUUCCGA
This is a long non-coding RNA of Mus caroli (Ryukyu mouse), 403 nucleotides long. RefSeq lists it as uncharacterized. Lineage: Eukaryota; Metazoa; Chordata; Mammalia; Rodentia; Muridae. The record is from RefSeq and is a predicted model, not a curated record.